Syngnathoides biaculeatus (alligator pipefish) is the source of this 2411-nucleotide RNA transcript. It is a transcript of the gene named alpha-L-iduronidase, with no coding region annotated. Lineage: Eukaryota; Metazoa; Chordata; Actinopteri; Syngnathiformes; Syngnathidae. The record is from RefSeq and is a predicted model, not a curated record. The transcript has 12 exons.
GAAUAAAAUUAGUCCUGUCAGGCUUCUGAGUAGAGGUUGGCUUUACCGCAGUGACGUACUCACGCUCCCUUGCAGAAAUGUUGAGGAAAACAUUGUUUGGAUUUGCAGUUAUCGUGUGGAUCACAUCAGAAGUUUCUUGCGAUUCUUUUGUCAUCACUGUUGACCUUGGAAAACCACUCGGACCUCUGAACCACUUCUGGAGAAGCACUGGCUUUUGUCCUCCUCUUCCUCACACUGAGGCGUCCCAUUUUGACCUGAGUGUCGACCAGCAGCAAAACUUGGCUUAUGUGGGCUCGGUCCCCCAUGGAGGGAUCCAGCAGGUCCGAAUCCAUUGGAUGUUGGAGCUGGUCACUGUCCAAGAUGUUGGAGGACAACCGCAGUACAACUUUACAAAACUGGACCAGCUAAUGAAUCUCUUAUGGAUUAAUGGGCUGCAACCUGGAUUUGAACUGAUGGGCAGCGUCUCAAACUACUUCACCAACUUUGAGGAGAAAUCCCAAGUUUUCAAAUGGAGAAAUUUGGUUCAUCUGAUAGCUAAGAAGUACAUUGAAAAAUACGGUCUUGGAAAUGUUUCUCAGUGGAACUUUGAAACAUGGAACGAGCCCAACAACCAUGACUUUGAUAACGUUAGCAUGUCAAUUCAAGGGUUUCUUAAUUAUUACGAUGCCUGUUCGGAGGGUCUGCGGGCUGCCAGCGACUUGCUUCGGUUUGGUGGUCCGGGAGACUCCUGUCACUCACCCCCACACUCUCCUUACUGCUGGGCCAUGCUUCAACACUGCUACAAUGGCACCAACUACUUCACCGGAGAGACGGGCGUUCGGCUUGACUACAUUGCCCUGCACAAAAAGGGAGGAGGUUACUCUUUGCCAAUCCUGCAGCAGGAGAUGCAGACCGUGGGAGAGAUCCAGGAGUAUUUCCCCCGAUUCCGGAAUCGUCCUGUGUACAACGAUGAGGCUGACCCGCUGGUGGGCUGGUCCCAGCCUCAGGAGUGGCGAGCAGAUGUGACCUAUGCUGCCAUGGCUGUCAAGGUCAUCAGCCAGCAUCAAGAAAUGCUGUUGGCAAACACCAGCAUCAACUACACCCUGCUGAGCAACGACAACGCCUUCCUCAGCUACCACCCUCACCCCUUCACCCAGCGCACUCUGACCGCUCGCUUCCAGGUCAACAACACCCAACCGCCUCACGUGCAUCUCAUCAGGAAGCCCAUCCUCACUGUCAUGGGCCUUCUAGCUCUGUUAGGUGAGACCCAGAUCCUGACACGAGUUUUGAACUCUUCAAGAACUGAUGAUACCCACAGCGGAAGCGUGGGAGUGCUUGCAAGUAGCCACCAGCAAGAAAUCCCCAGCGUUUCAGACAGCUGGCAAGCCGCUCUGCUGGUCUACAGCAGUGACGACAACCGCACGUCGGCCAGGAUUAAUGUUGUUACCGUGUCACUAAAAGGACUGCAGCCAUACACAGGUCUUUUAUAUGUCACCUAUCUCCUGGACAAUAAUGUGAGUAACCCAUAUCAACUAUGGCAAAACAUGGGAAGCCCCAUCUACCCCACGACAGACCAGUUCACGAAGCUCAGGAACGUCCAGAUUCAUGGUCCAUCCUUCAUCUAUGCAGUUCAAACUAAGCAUAAACCAAAGUAAAUUGUGCAUGUUAAAAAAACAAAUAACUUCCCCCAGAUGCUUAAUUGUAGUGGAACAUACACCACGCCUACUUGGCAUCAAUAGCGGUGUUAUUACCCAUUUUGCAACUGAUAUUUUAACACAAAUGGUGGGACAGUAUGUGGACAGACAGUAUCACAAUACUAAAAGGAACAUAAUUUUUCUCCUCUCCAAAAAAGUGAUCGCAGGAGCUUACAAAGUCGCAGUACUUGUGAAACUAUUCCCCCGCAUUUGUGGUUGUGGGAUGCCAGAAGGAGCACCACAAUGAAUUGAAUUGAAGUAUUAAAUAGUAAUGCACACUUAUAUUUAUUUAUGGUAUUAUAACUCAGUUUUUACUAAAUACAAUAUUGUGCUAUAUUCCUUUUUAAUGCCCAAAAUAUAAUGACAUUUCCAUUCAUGUUAUUGAGAAGAGAAGAUUUGAAAUACACAUUUUUUUGUUACAAAGGUGGCCACAGAAUUAAUUAAACUUGUAUCUCAAAGCACCACUGUGUUUUUCCUCUUCCUUAUGUGAGAUGACUGGGAUGCAUUGCCAUUUAUUCUCCUCCCCCUUGUAGUGCCAAACUCCUGAACUAGACUCCUUGUUAGGCAUCACAUAAUGUGCUUCCUUGUUAGGACCCUCUUGUUGAUGGACCGUGGCCGGUGCCUGCAGGUGAAACUCUGACUUUGAAGGCAAGACUCCGUGUUCCCUCUGUGCUGUUGAUACAUGUAUGUGCCCAACCCAAGGCUGCUCCAAACCAGGUCAAUGGUUUACGCUUCCUC